RNAcentral lists this long non-coding RNA (49 nucleotides) under Meriones unguiculatus (Mongolian gerbil). The record is from RNAcentral. Lineage: Eukaryota; Metazoa; Chordata; Mammalia; Rodentia; Muridae.
ACUGUACUGAUGAGUCCCAAGUAGGACGAAAUAGCAGGUCACGAGCAAU